CAACAGGUGACUCAGUGGUAUAGCACCUGCCUGGCAUGUAGGAGGCCCUGGGUUUAAUGCCCAGCACUGUGGG
Molecule: transfer RNA, 73 nt
Filed under: Marmota monax (woodchuck)
Lineage: Eukaryota; Metazoa; Chordata; Mammalia; Rodentia; Sciuridae
Description: tRNA.Ala
Source: RNAcentral